Molecule: ribosomal RNA, 373 nt
Filed under: uncultured organism
Description: partial 16S ribosomal RNA
Rfam family: Bacterial small subunit ribosomal RNA
Source: RNAcentral
GUAGGUGGCAAGCGUCGUCCGGAAUUAUUGGGCGUAAAUCGCGCGCAGGCGGUUUUUUAAGUCUGAUGUGAAAGCCCACGGCUCAACCGUGGAGGGUCAUUGGAAACUGGAGAACUUGAGUACAGAAGAGGAAAGCGGAAUUCCACGUGUAGCGGUGAAAUGCGUAGAGAUGUGGAGGAACACCAGUGGCGAAGGCGGCUUUCUGGUCUGUAACUGACGCUGAGGCGCGAAAGCGUGGGGAGCAAACAGGGAUUAGAUACCCUGGUAGUCCACGCCGUAAACGAUGAGUGCUAAGUGUUAGGGGGUUUCCCGCCCCUUAGUGCUGCAGCUAACGCAUUAAGCACUCCGCCUGGGGAGUACGGCCGCAAGGCUG